GUGGGGAAUAUUGGACAAUGGGCGAAAGCCUGAUCCAGCCAUGCCGCGUGUGUGAAGAAGGUCUUCGGAUUGUAAAGCACUUUAAGUUGGGAGGAAGGGCAGUAAGUUAAUACCUUGCUGUUUUGACGUUACCAACAGAAUAAGCACCGGCUAACUUCGUGCCAGCAGCCGCGGUAAUACGAAGGGUGCAAGCGUUAAUCGGAAUUACUGGGCGUAAAGCGCGCGUCGGUGGUUCAGCAAGUUGGAGGUGAAAUCCCCGGGCUCAACCUGGGAACUGCCUCCAAAACUACUGAGCUAGAGUACGGUAGAGGGUAGUGGAAUGUCCUGUGUAGCGGUGAAAUGCGUAGAUAUAGGAAGGAACACCAGUGGCGAAGGCGACUACCUGGACUGAUACUGACACUGAGGUGCGAAAGCGUGGGGAGCAAACAGGAUUAGAAACCCCUGUAGUCC
RNAcentral lists this ribosomal RNA (450 nucleotides) under uncultured bacterium. Its description in RNAcentral is "partial 16S ribosomal RNA". It matches the Rfam family "Bacterial small subunit ribosomal RNA", at positions 354 to 796 of the family's 1533-position model. The record is from RNAcentral.